Molecule: ribosomal RNA, 484 nt
Filed under: uncultured bacterium
Lineage: Bacteria
Description: partial 16S ribosomal RNA
Rfam family: Bacterial small subunit ribosomal RNA
Source: RNAcentral
AUUGAACGCUGGCGGAAUGCUUUACACAUGCAAGUCGAGCGGCAGCACGGGGGUAACCCUGGUGGCGAGCGGCGAACGGGUGAGUAAUACAUCGGAACAUGCCCAGUCGUGGGGGAUAACACUUCGAAAGAAGUGCUAAUACCGCAUACGUCCUGAGGGAGAAAGCGGGGGAUCGCAAGACCUCGCGCGAUUGGAGUGGCCGAUGUCAGAUUAGCUAGUUGGUGGGGUAAAGGCCUACCAAGGCAACGAUCUGUAGCUGGUCUGAGAGGAUGAUCAGCCACUCUGGGACUGAGACACGGCCCAGACUCCUACGGGAGGCAGCAGUGGGGAAUUUUGGACAAUGGGGGCAACCCUGAUCCAGCCAUUCCGCGUGAGUGAAGAAGGCCUUCGGGUUGUAAAGCUCUUUCGGCAGGAACGAAACGGUGAGCUCUAACAUAGCUUGCUAAUGACGGUACCUGAAGAAGAAGCACCGGCUAACUACGUG